CCUACGGGAGGCAGCAGUGAGGAAUAUUGGUCACUGGACGAGAGUCUGAACCAGCCAAGUAGCGUGAAGGAUGACUGCCCUAUGGGUUGUAAACUUCUUUUAUAUGGGAAUAAAAUGUUCCACGUGUGGGAUUUUGUAUGUACCAUAUUAAUAAGGAUCGGCUAACUCCGUUCCAGCAGCCGCGGUAAUACGGAGGAUCCGAGCGUUAGCCGGAUUUAUUGGGUUUAAUGAGAGCGUAGGUGGAUUGUUAAGUCAGUUGGUAAAGUGUGCGGAUCAAACGUAAAAUUGCAGUUGAAACUGGCAGUCUCGAGUACAGGAGAGGUGGGCGGAAUAAGUGGUGUAGCGGUGAAAUGCUUAGAUAUCACGAAGAACUCCGAUUGCGAAGGCAGCUCACUGGACUGCAACUGACACUGAGGCUCGAAAGUGUGGGUAUCAAACAGGAUUAGAUACCCGAGUAGUC
This 460-nucleotide ribosomal RNA is filed under the name uncultured bacterium. RNAcentral's name for it is "partial 16S ribosomal RNA". It matches the Rfam family "Bacterial small subunit ribosomal RNA", at positions 338 to 795 of the family's 1533-position model. The record is from RNAcentral.